UUUUUUAAUUUUUUGUUUAUGAUUUAUUCUCUUAAUUUAUCUAAAAAUCGAGGAAAAAAGUUUUGACCAAUCUUAUUUGAAUCUCAACAAUGUCAUUAUAGCACAUUUUAUUUUAUUAAUACAUAUUUCCUCGAUUUUGUUCAUAAAUGAUAGAAACAAUGUGUGUUUGUUUAUUUAAUCAACAAAUUUUUAUCGUUUAUUUAUAAAGUAACAACGAUCAACACAUUGUCA
RNAcentral lists this long non-coding RNA (231 nucleotides) under Lathyrus oleraceus (garden pea). Its description in RNAcentral is "Pisum sativum (pea) long non-coding RNA (PSAT_LNC009166)". The record is from RNAcentral. Lineage: Eukaryota; Viridiplantae; Streptophyta; Magnoliopsida; Fabales; Fabaceae.